AACAAACUUUACUUUUCUAUGAUAAAGUACCAGGCACCACAGGUACAGGUUAAUAAUGCUAAUGGGGGGUAUGGCUAUCAAGAUACUCGGAUGCAGUUGUAUUCACCUGUUAAUACUCUGGAAGAGCAAACUAGGCAAUUUUCUCUAAAUAUUCCUCGUGCAAGGGAAGAAACUCUCUCCAGACAUUCUAUUUUGGGCCCGAAUGGACUUCGUGGACAACACCCAGCUCCUACCUUCAAUGUUGCGGUUCGUUAUCCAAGCAAUAUAGAUUUGUCACCAU
Long non-coding RNA from Lactuca sativa (garden lettuce), 280 nucleotides. RefSeq lists it as uncharacterized. The record is from RefSeq and is a predicted model, not a curated record. Lineage: Eukaryota; Viridiplantae; Streptophyta; Magnoliopsida; Asterales; Asteraceae.